AAUCAACGCUGGCGGCGCGCCUAACACAUGCAAGUCGAACGAGAAAGGGGAGCAAUCCCUGAGUACAGUGGCGUACGGGUGAGUAACACGUGGGUGAUCUGCCUCUUAGUGGGGAAUAUCUCUGGGAAACCGGAGUUAAUACCGCAUAAGCUCGGAAGAGGAAAGCCGAAAGGCGCUGAGAGAGGAGCCCGCGGCCGAUUAGCUAGUUGGUGGGGUAAAGGCUCACCAAGGCAGAGAUCGGUAGCCGGCCUGAGAGGGCACACGGCCACACUGGCACUGAAACACGGGCCAGACUCCUACGGGAGGCAGCAGUGGGGAAUCUUGCACAAUGGGGGCAACCCUGAUGCAGCGACGCCGCGUGAGCGAUGAAGCCCUU
RNAcentral lists this ribosomal RNA (376 nucleotides) under uncultured bacterium. RNAcentral describes it as "bacterial SSU rRNA". It matches the Rfam family "Bacterial small subunit ribosomal RNA", at positions 29 to 418 of the family's 1533-position model. The record is from RNAcentral.